GAUGAACGCUGGCGGCGUGCUUAACACAUGCAAGUCGAGCGAAGCACCCGGACGGAUUUCUUCGGAUUGAAGUCUGGGCGACUGAGCGGCGGACGGGUGAGUAACGCGUGGGUAACCUGCCUCAUACAGGGGGAUAACAGUUAGAAAUGACUGCUAAUACCGCAUAAGCGCACGAAGGCGCAUGCCUUUGUGUGAAAAACUCCGGUGGUAUGAGAUGGACCCGCGUUAGAUUAGCCAGUUGGCAGGGUAACGGCCUACCAAAGCGACGAUCUAUAGCCGGCCUGAGAGGGCGACCGGCCACAUUGGGACUGAGACACGGCCCAAACUCCUACGGGAGGCAGCAGUGGGGAAUAUUGCACAAUGGGGGAAACCCUGAUGCAGCGACGCCGCGUGAGCGAAGAAGUAUUUCGGUAUGUAAAGCUCUAUCAGCAGGGAAGAAAAUGACGGUACCUGACUAAGAAGCCCCGGCUAACUACGUGCCAGCAGCCGCGGUAAUACGUAGGGGGCAAGCGUUAUCCGGAUUUACUGGGUGUAAAGGGAGCGUAGACGGCUCUGCAAGUCUGGAGUGAAAACCCGGGGCUCAACCCUGGGACUGCUUUGGAAACUGUGGAGCUUGAGUACCGGAGGGGUAAGCGGAAUUCCUAGUGUAGCGGUGAAAUGCGUAGAUAUUAGGAGGAACACCAGUGGCGAAGGCGGCUUACUGGACGGUAA
Molecule: ribosomal RNA, 711 nt
Filed under: uncultured Lachnospiraceae bacterium
Lineage: Bacteria; Bacillati; Bacillota; Clostridia; Lachnospirales; Lachnospiraceae
Description: bacterial SSU rRNA
Rfam family: Bacterial small subunit ribosomal RNA
Source: RNAcentral